GCUACUCAGGAGCUCCUAGCUACUUGGAAGGCUGAGGUGGGAGGAUCACUUGAGCUCAGGAGUUUUGGGCUGUCAUGCACUGUGCCAGUCAGGUGUCUAUACUAAGGUCAGCAUCAAUAUGAUGACCUCCCAGGAGCGGGGGACUACCAGGUUGCCUAAGGAAGGAUGAACUGGCCUAGUAGGCCAAAACUCCCAUGCUGAUCAGUAGUGUGAUUGUGCCUGUGAAUAGCCACUGCACUCUAGCCUGGGCAACAUAGCAAGACCCUGUCUCU
Molecule: signal recognition particle RNA, 272 nt
Filed under: Cebus imitator (Panamanian white-faced capuchin)
Lineage: Eukaryota; Metazoa; Chordata; Mammalia; Primates; Cebidae
Description: Metazoan signal recognition particle RNA (ENSCCAG00000006360.1)
Rfam family: Metazoan signal recognition particle RNA
About the family: The signal recognition particle (SRP) is a universally conserved ribonucleoprotein. It is involved in the co-translational targeting of proteins to membranes. The eukaryotic SRP consists of a 300-nucleotide 7S RNA and six proteins: SRPs 72, 68, 54, 19, 14, and 9.
Source: RNAcentral